GACGAACGCUGGCGGCGUGCUUAACACAUGCAAGUCGAACGCUGAAGCUCAGCUUUUGUUGGGUGGAUGAGUGGCGAACGGGUGAGUAACACGUGAGUAACCUGCCCCCUUCUUUGGGAUAACGCCCGGAAACGGGUGCUAAUACUGGAUAUUCACUGGUCUUCGCAUGGGGGUUGGUGGAAAGGGUUUUUCUGGUGGGGGAUGGGCUCGCGGCCUAUCAGCUUGUUGGUGGGGUGAUGGCCUACCAAGGCUUUGACGGGUAGCCGGCCUGAGAGGGUGACCGGUCACAUUGGGACUGAGAUACGGCCCAGACUCCUACGGGAGGCAGCAGUGGGGAAUAUUGCACAAUGGGCGCAAGCCUGAUGCAGCGACGCCGCGUGAGGGAUGGGGGCCUUCGGGUUGUGAACCUCUUUCGCUCAUGGUCAAGCCGCAACAAUGGUUGUGGUGAGGGUAGUGGGUAAAGAAGCGCCGGCUAACUACGCG
RNAcentral lists this ribosomal RNA (483 nucleotides) under uncultured bacterium. RNAcentral describes it as "partial 16S ribosomal RNA". It matches the Rfam family "Bacterial small subunit ribosomal RNA", at positions 28 to 507 of the family's 1533-position model. The record is from RNAcentral.